Molecule: long non-coding RNA, 451 nt
Organism: Mobula hypostoma (lesser devil ray)
Lineage: Eukaryota; Metazoa; Chordata; Chondrichthyes; Myliobatiformes; Myliobatidae
Exons: 3
Source: RefSeq, a predicted model, not a curated record
GGGCUCUGCUCAUCCCUUUGCACGUUCUACAAAGUAUCUGGAAAUCGAUGGAUAGAGUAGCCGCUUUUCGUAUGGGGAUUGUUUGGAUGACUUUAAAUCACCUUUGAGAUCUAUCCUUGUGCAAGUCUACGGUCAACUGUGUAAAAAGAACCUCUUCUGGUUGUGUGAAGAGCCAACAAAAUGGCAUCCGCUGUGGACCUGUUGCUUCGGUGGACGAAUUGGAGCAGAUCCAAGCCAUUACUCAGACAGGAGCUGAUAUGCUUCAACACCAGCCUCUCAAAACACUUCAUCACUGUGGAUGUCAGUGCUACUGGCCAAUAAUUAUUUAGACAAGUCACACGCUCUUCUUGGGCACUGGUACAAUUGAAGCCUGCUUGUAGCAGGUGGGUAUCACACACAUCCGGAGUGAGAGGUUGAAGAUAUUCAUGAAUACAUCAGCCAGGUGUUCAGU